AACGAACGCUGGCGGCAUGCCUAACACAUGCAAGUCGAACGAGACCUUCGGGUCUAGUGGCGCACGGGUGCGUAACGCGUGGGAACCUGCCCUUAGGUUCGGAAUAACUCCCCGAAAGGGGUGCUAAUACCGGAUAAUGUCUUCGGACCAAAGAUUUAUCGCCUUUGGAUGGGCCCGCGUUGGAUUAGCUAGUUGGUAGGGUAAAAGCCUACCAAGGCGACGAUCCAUAGCUGGUCUGAGAGGAUGAUCAGCCACACUGGGACUGAGACACGGCCCAGACUCCUACGGGAGGCAGCAGUGGGGAAUAUUGGACAAUGGGCGGAAGCCUGAACCAGCAAUGCCGCGUGAGUGAUGAAGGCCUUAGGGUUGUAAAGCUCUUUUACCCGGGAUGAUAAUGACAGUACCGGGAGAAUAAGCUCCGGCUAACUCCGUG
This 433-nucleotide ribosomal RNA is filed under the name uncultured bacterium. Its description in RNAcentral is "partial 16S ribosomal RNA". It matches the Rfam family "Bacterial small subunit ribosomal RNA", at positions 29 to 507 of the family's 1533-position model. The record is from RNAcentral.